GACAGAAAAGCCGAUCAGCUGAUCAUUAAUCAGUUUCACGAUUGAAGUAGCUGCAGGAAGUGAGGAGUUCAGUCAUUUGGGAGGGGUUCAGAGUAGAGCCAAUACUCCUCCACAUCCAAAGGAGAUGGCAGGCUUUGGCCUCCUGGGUCAGGUGUUCCAGCUGGGCAUGUCCUACCUGGAUGAGGCCCCGGAGCAGACCCUGGACACGCUGCACAGAUUACAUCUAUCGGCUUGUCUGUCUGGGUUUUCCUGCUGCUGCCCCCGCAACUUGACUUCAGUACAGGUGUGAUGUGAGUGAAGAGUGAGAACCAAAGAGCAUAGAGGAGAAGGAGAAGCUGUGAGCAGAUUCAGGAGGAGCAGAUGGAGCACAGAGAAGAGGAGAAGAGCUCCACCUGCAGGACAAACAAACACAUCCAUCUCAUUUUAUCCUGAGACCUGAUAGAAAAGCAUCAUCAACACUAUCAAUAAUAAUAAUAAUAAUAAUGUCUUUAUUUGUUUUUAUCCCCAAACUGAAACGAGCAGCAGGAUAAAAUCAGAGCUGGA
This is a long non-coding RNA of Oreochromis aureus, 543 nucleotides long. NCBI's taxonomy places the organism in Eukaryota, Metazoa, Chordata, Actinopteri, Cichliformes, Cichlidae. The record is from Ensembl.